RNAcentral lists this ribosomal RNA (464 nucleotides) under uncultured bacterium. RNAcentral describes it as "partial 16S ribosomal RNA". It matches the Rfam family "Bacterial small subunit ribosomal RNA", at positions 28 to 507 of the family's 1533-position model. The record is from RNAcentral.
GACGAACGCUGGCGGCGUGCUUAACACAUGCAAGUCGAACGGAAAGGCCCAGCUUGCUGGGUGCUCGAGUGGCGAACGGGUGAGUAACACGUGGGUGAUCUGCCCCUAACUUCGGGAUAAGCUUGGGAAACUGGGUCUAAUACCGGAUAGGACAAUCGUUUAGUGUCGGUUGUGGAAAGUUUUUUCGGUUAGGGAUGAGCCCGCGGCCUAUCAGCUUGUUGGUGGGGUAAUGGCCUACCAAGGCGUCGACGGGUAGCCGGCCUGGGAGGGUGGACGGCCACAUUGGGACUGAGAUACGGCCCAGACUCCUACGGGAGGCAGCAGUGGGGAAUAUUGCACAAUGGGCGCAAGCCUGAUGCAGCGACGCCGCGUGGGGGAUGACGGCCUUCGGGUUGUAAACCUCUUUCGACAGGGACGAAGCUUUGGUGACGGUACCUGUAUAAGAAGCACCGGCUAACUACGUG